GGGGGCGUAAAGGUUUCGACGGGGGCUGGGAAGUAUGGUCGGCGAGCCGGGCGCAUGACCCGUAAAACGUGCAACUUUCUAAAUUUAAACGAGAACAACGAUUCCGUUUUGAUGGCCGCUUAAGGCCUCCGUCAGCCCGGAGAGUACCGCGUAUCCGGUGUCUGGCGUCAUGACGCGGUGAACGUCUGCUGAGGACGCGCAUAAUCAGCAGUCGCACAAUGCGCUACUGCUUCGCAUAGCCUGUUUGCCGGCGCUGCGGAGCGGGAAUGCAAAAGACAAACUACACUCGUAGAAGAUCGGAUGGAACGGUUUUCGGACGCGGGUUCAAUUCCCGCCGCCUCCAUUC
Molecule: transfer-messenger RNA, 346 nt
Filed under: Oscillospiraceae bacterium
Lineage: Bacteria; Bacillati; Bacillota; Clostridia; Eubacteriales; Oscillospiraceae
Rfam family: transfer-messenger RNA
About the family: Bacterial tmRNA, also known as 10Sa RNA or SsrA, is named for its dual tRNA and mRNA-like properties.
Source: RNAcentral